RNAcentral lists this ribosomal RNA (414 nucleotides) under uncultured bacterium. Its description in RNAcentral is "bacterial SSU rRNA". It matches the Rfam family "Bacterial small subunit ribosomal RNA", at positions 40 to 499 of the family's 1533-position model. The record is from RNAcentral.
CGGCACGCCUAACACAUGCAAGUCGAACGAAGUAGCAAUACUUAGUGGCAGACGGGUGAGUAACAUGUAGGUAUCUGCCCUUUGGCCUGGAAUAACACGAGGAAACUUGUGCUAAUACCGGAUAAGUCUUUACGGAGAAAGCUUUAUGCACCAUUGGAUGAGCCUGCACUUGAUUAGUUUGUUGGUGGGGUAAUGGCCUACCAAGACUGUGAUCAAUAGCUGAUUUGAGAGGAUGAUCAGCCACAUUGGGACUGAGACACGGCCCAAACUCCUACGGGAGGCAGCAGUGGGGAAUCUUGCACAAUGGAGGAAACUCUGAUGCAGCGAUGCCGCGUGAGUGAAGAAGGCCUUUGGGUUGUAAAGCUCUUUCGUCGGGGAAGAAAAUGACUGUACCCGAAUAAGAAGGUCCGGCUA